CAGGAAUAUAAGAACGACCUGCUUUCAUUAUUAAAGGAAGGGGUCUUGAAUCAAGAUGAAUUCUACUUCCUGUACCAAGAGCAUCCAGUAACGGCAAUUUUCUACCAUCUGCCUAAAAUUCAUAAAGAUCAAAAGAACCCUCCAGGUCACCCGAUUAUAUCUGAAAUAGCAUCAUUAACCAGUAAUAGUUCCGUUCAUGUCAACUUCUUCUUACAACAUAUGGUUACACAUCUUGAUUCAUAUUUGAAAGACACGACUCAUAUGCUUCAAUUCCUCUCCAAUAUCGAAUGGACAGUGGACUGCUUUCUCGUCAGUUUGGAUGUUACCUCUUUAUACAACAGCAUUCCUCAACAUAUCGG
Molecule: non-coding RNA, 359 nt
Organism: Pelobates cultripes (western spadefoot toad)
Lineage: Eukaryota; Metazoa; Chordata; Amphibia; Anura; Pelobatidae
Source: the annotation of a GenBank genome assembly